GGAGCGCGACGCUCUCCCCAAGGACGAAGCCAUGCAUGCCCGCUCACCCGGGACGCGGCGGACGGCUCAGGACAACGGUUGCACCCCCCGCGGCGGUCCCUGCUAGCCGGACACCGCUGGCAACCCGGCGCCAAGACGUGCGCGCAAGGGCGGGCGCCCGCGGGCGAGCAGCGUGACGCAGCGACGGCCCGCCCGGGCUUCCGGGGCAUCACCCGGUCGGCGCGGUCGCGGCGCGCCGAGGGCCCGACGCCUGGC
This 255-nucleotide ribosomal RNA is filed under the name Giardia duodenalis. RNAcentral's name for it is "Giardia intestinalis partial small subunit ribosomal RNA". Lineage: Eukaryota; Fornicata; Diplomonadida; Hexamitidae. The record is from RNAcentral.